RNAcentral lists this ribosomal RNA (499 nucleotides) under uncultured bacterium. RNAcentral describes it as "bacterial SSU rRNA". It matches the Rfam family "Bacterial small subunit ribosomal RNA", at positions 381 to 873 of the family's 1533-position model. The record is from RNAcentral.
GCCUGACGCAGCGACGCCGCGUGAGUGAUGAAGGCCUUCGGGUUGUAAAGCUCUGUGGAGGGGGACGGAAUAAGGGCUGGCUAACAUCCAGCUUGAUGACGGUACCUCUUUAGCAAGCACCGGCUAACUCUGUGCCAGCAGCCGCGGUAAGACAGAGGGUGCAAACGUUGUUCGGAAUUACUGGGCGUAAAGCGCGUGUAGGCUUCUUCGAAAGUCGGAUGUGAAAGCCCUGGGCUCAACCUAGGAAGUGCAUUCGAAACUUCGAAGCUGGAGUCCUGGAGAGGAUAGCGGAAUUCUCGGUGUAGAGGUGAAAUUCGUAGAUAUCGAGAGGAACACCGGUGGCGAAGGCGGCUAUCUGGACAGUGACUGACGCUGAGACGCGAAAGCGUGGGGAGGCAAACAGGAUUAGAUACCUGGUAGUCCACGCCGUAAACGAUGGUGCUAGGUGUCGCGGGCUUGACCUCGCGGUGCCGUAGCGUAACGACAUUAAGCACCCGCC